This 510-nucleotide ribosomal RNA is filed under the name uncultured bacterium. RNAcentral's name for it is "partial 16S ribosomal RNA". It matches the Rfam family "Bacterial small subunit ribosomal RNA", at positions 28 to 507 of the family's 1533-position model. The record is from RNAcentral.
GACGAACGCUGGCGGCGUGCUUAACACAUGCAAGUCGAACGAAGAGCGAUGGAAGCUUGCUUCUAUCAAUCUUAGUGGCGAACGGGUGAGUAACGCGUAAUCAACCUGCCCUUCAGAGGGGGACAACAGUUGGAAACGACUGCUAAUACCGCAUACGAUCUGACCUCGGCAUCGAGGAUAGAUGAAAGGUGGCCUCUACAUGUAAGCUAUCACUGAAGGAGGGGAUUGCGUCUGAUUAGCUAGUUGGAGGGGUAACGGCCCACCAAGGCGAUGAUCAGUAGCCGGUCUGAGAGGAUGAACGGCCACAUUGGGACUGAGACACGGCCCAGACUCCUACGGGAGGCAGCAGUGGGGAAUCUUCCGCAAUGGACGAAAGUCUGACGGAGCAACGCCGCGUGAGUGAUGACGGCCUUCGGGUUGUAAAGCUCUGUUAAUCGGGACGAAAGGCCUUUUUGCGAAUAGUGAGAAGGAUUGACGGUACCGGAAUAGAAAGCCACGGCUAACUAUGUG